AUGGAUGAUUGCAAUUUCUUAAUAUGGAAUGUUAGGGGCCUGAAUUCGCCAGCGAGAAGGACCGCUGUUCGGCCGCUCAUUAGGAUGCAUGCUAUCAGUAUGGUGUGUCUGCAAGAGACAAAGUUAUCCAGUGUUGAUUUUGUUCUGCUAUCUGAAAUCUGUGGUGGCAAUUUCUCUGAAUUUGCUUUCUCUCCUUCUGAAGGUGCUAGUGGAGGAUUGUCAGUCGCUUGGUCUGAUAAUAUUGUUGUCUCCUCAGUACAAUGCUCUAGAUGUUUUAUAUCCCUAAGGUGCUACAACAAGAUCACUAGUGAGUUUUGGAAAAUGGUGAAUGUCUAUGGCCCUCAACCCCCUAGUGAAAAGAUCUCCUUCCUAAACGACUUGCAAUCGCUAUGCUUGAACUCUCCUGAUCCCUUGAUUUUAGUGGGUGACUUCAACUGCAGCUACAGACAAGAGUAA
RNAcentral lists this ribosomal RNA (456 nucleotides) under Triticum aestivum (bread wheat). RNAcentral's name for it is "partial small subunit ribosomal RNA". The record is from RNAcentral. Lineage: Eukaryota; Viridiplantae; Streptophyta; Magnoliopsida; Poales; Poaceae.